RNAcentral lists this transfer RNA (65 nucleotides) under Dipodomys ordii (Ord's kangaroo rat). It matches the Rfam family "tRNA". Rfam says of the family: Transfer RNA (tRNA) molecules are approximately 80 nucleotides in length. Their secondary structure includes four short double-helical elements and three loops (D, anti-codon, and T loops). Lineage: Eukaryota; Metazoa; Chordata; Mammalia; Rodentia; Heteromyidae. The record is from Rfam by way of RNAcentral.
GGUGGCUCAGUGGUACAGUGCUUGCCUUACAUGCAUGAAGCCCUGGGUUCAAUUCCUCAGCACCA